UACGUAGGGUGCGAGCGUUGUCCGGAAUUAUUGGGCGUAAAGGGUGCGUAGGUGGCGCCGUAAGUCAGGUGUGAAAUUUCGGAGCUUAACUCCGAAACUGCAUUUGAUACUGCGGUGCUUGAGGACUGGAGAGGAGACUGGAAUUUACGGUGUAGCAGUGAAAUGCGUAGAGAUCGUAAGGAAGACCAGUGGCGAAGGCGGGUCUCUGGACAGUUCCUGACACUGAGGCACGAAGGCCAGGGGAGCGAACAGG
Molecule: ribosomal RNA, 253 nt
Filed under: uncultured bacterium
Lineage: Bacteria
Description: partial 16S ribosomal RNA
Rfam family: Bacterial small subunit ribosomal RNA
Source: RNAcentral